RNAcentral lists this ribosomal RNA (630 nucleotides) under Triticum aestivum (bread wheat). RNAcentral describes it as "partial small subunit ribosomal RNA". Lineage: Eukaryota; Viridiplantae; Streptophyta; Magnoliopsida; Poales; Poaceae. The record is from RNAcentral.
AUGGCACCAUUAGAAGGGGAUUACCGUAGCUUAAUUAUUCGGGCGUCACAAUGCAAGGCUUAUGCAUUUGAGCCUGAUAUGAUUAUCACCUUUGAUAUUCGUCCGGAUGAUGAUACUGAAGGUAAUAGAGACAUCUGUGUCGAUGUGCAGACGCCUCCAAUUCUACCAUUAUCUUACUUCCAAUCAAGCAAACAUGUCCGGCGCUUGGUAGACAGGACCGUCCACUGUCCCGGGGCUGAACUAAACUGCGAGGAGACAAGUCAUUAUGUUUCAUGGCUUGAGGAUCUUGAUGCUGUCAAGACAAAUUUCUUUUCUGCACUUAGAAAUGGACUCCCGAUGAAUGUUGUGCCUGAUUGGAUCGAGACUAAAGGUACCAUGAAUAUUGUUAGCUUACGGCCAAGAUAUCCUACAAUGCACUUUAGUGCAUUUAGGAUUUCUAAUAGCGAGGAAUGCUUAAUAGUAAAAGACUGGAGCAAAAUUAUGAACGAUCACAGAGAAGUACUAGGGGGCAGCAAUCAGAAGCGCAACCCACGAUUAGGAGACAUGUUCAUCUGCAUGCUCCAAUAUGAUGAAUCAGCAAAUCUAUACAUGUUCUAUGCUAUUUUACCUGGGAGAGAGCAGCACGAGUGA